ACAGAGGGUGCAAGCGUUAAUCGGAUUUACUGGGCGUAAAGCGCGCGUAGGCGGCUAAUUAAGUCAAAUGUGAAAUCCCCGAGCUUAACUUGGGAAUUGCAUUCGAUACUGGUUAGCUAGAGUGUGGGAGAGGAUGGUAGAAUUCCUGGUGUAGCGGUGAAAUGCGUAGAGAUGCGGAGGAACACCGAUGGCGAAGGCAGCCCCCUGGGCUGACACUGACGCUCAGGCACGAAAGCGUGGGGAGCAAACAGGA
RNAcentral lists this ribosomal RNA (253 nucleotides) under uncultured prokaryote. Its description in RNAcentral is "partial 16S ribosomal RNA". It matches the Rfam family "Bacterial small subunit ribosomal RNA", at positions 525 to 777 of the family's 1533-position model. The record is from RNAcentral.